RNAcentral lists this ribosomal RNA (502 nucleotides) under uncultured bacterium. Its description in RNAcentral is "bacterial SSU rRNA". It matches the Rfam family "Bacterial small subunit ribosomal RNA", at positions 8 to 518 of the family's 1533-position model. The record is from RNAcentral.
AGAGUUUGAUCCUGGCUAGGACGAACGCUGGCGGCGUGCUUAACACAUGCAAGUCGAACGGGCUUAAAGAGGAGCUUGCUUUCUUAAGUUAGUGGCGGACGGGUGAGUAACGCGUGAGCAACUUGCCUUGGACAGUGGAAUAACACAGGGAAACUUGUGCUAAUACCGCAUGAAGUGCGAGGGGGCAUCCCUUCUGUACCAAAGGAAGCAAUUCCGGUCUGAGAUGGGGCUCGCGUCCGAUUAGAUAGUUGGUGAGGUAACGGCCCACCAAGUCGACGAUCGGUAGCCGGACUGAGAGGUUGGCCGGCCACAUUGGGACUGAGACACGGCCCAGACUCCUACGGGAGGCAGCAGUGGGGAAUAUUAGGCAAUGGGGGGCAACCCUGACCUAGCAACGCCGCGUGGAAGGAUGAAGGUUUUCGGAUUGUAAACUUCUUUGGCAGGGGACGAUAAUGACGGUACCCUGAGAACAAGCCACGGCUAACUACGUGCCAGCCGCCGC